Molecule: ribosomal RNA, 323 nt
Filed under: uncultured Sphingobacteriales bacterium
Lineage: Bacteria; Pseudomonadati; Bacteroidota; Sphingobacteriia; Sphingobacteriales
Description: bacterial SSU rRNA
Rfam family: Bacterial small subunit ribosomal RNA
Source: RNAcentral
AGCUCGUGCCGUGAGGUGUCGGGUUAAGUCCCAUACGAGCGCAACCCUAUCAUAGUUGCCAUCAGGUCAAGCUGGGGACUCUAAUGAAACUGCCUACGCAAGUAGUGAGGAAGGUGGGGAUGACGUCAAAUCAGCACGGCCCUUACGUCCAGGGCUACACACGUGCUACAAUGGCCGGUACAAAGGGCAGCUACCUGGUGACAGGAUGCUAAUCUCAAAAGCCGGUCUCAGUUCGGAUCGGAGUCUGCAACCCGACUCCGUGAAGUUGGAUUCGCUAGUAAUCGCGCAUCAGCCAUGGCGCGGUGAAUACGUUCCCGGGCCUU